This is a long non-coding RNA of Solanum lycopersicum (tomato), 595 nucleotides long. RefSeq lists it as uncharacterized. NCBI's taxonomy places the organism in Eukaryota, Viridiplantae, Streptophyta, Magnoliopsida, Solanales, Solanaceae. The record is from RefSeq and is a predicted model, not a curated record.
AGAUGGUGUUGUAGUGAAUAAAAGACUCAAAAUCUUUCAUCUUCUAAUCCAUUAUUCUGUUCUCUCUAAAACUAUAUGGAAAAACCUUUAGGAAAAAUCAAAGUAGAAGACUCUCUAUUCUAAUUCUUUCAAUCUUUUUCAAGAUUAUUCUUCAAGGGUUUUGAAAGUAAGAAGAAAAGAGGAGAAUGAAGAAGAAGACGCAAGAACGCCAAGUUUAGCUUCGUGAAUCUUCGUUUGGGGUGAUUCCUAACAAGGUUGAAUUGAGGGUUUAUGAUAAGACAUUGAUGACAAACUAUGAAGGAUACUUGAUUCCGGUUGUUUAAGUGCUUUGAAGACGGUAGGAUCUCUCAUUCAUCCAAGUAGGGUAGGUCCUCGUUUUCCGAGGGCGAUGCCAUUAUCAAGCUUAUGGAGUUUGCUGUUUAGUUAAAGACUUCUAUUGUUCUUUCUUUAUAUUUAGUAUGAAACUUUGUAUAGACAUUGUGAGACAUUUUUACUUGAUGUAUGGGUUAUUCCCAAGUUCUUACAAUCUUAUUAGAUGGUUAUGAGUUGAGACAACUAUUAUUACUAUUAUUAUGUAUAUGAUAUACUUUAUAUA